UACGAAGGGGGCUAGCGUUGCUCGGAAUUACUGGGCGUAAAGCGCACGUAGGCGGGCUUUCUAAGUCGGGGGUGAAAUCCUGGAGCUCAACUCCAGAACUGCCUUCGAUACUGGAGUGCGUUGAGUCCGGGAGAGGUGAGUGGAACUGCGAGUGUAGAGGUGAAAUUCGUAGAUAUUCGCAAGAACACCAGUGGCGAAGGCGGCUCACUGGCCCGGUACUGACGCUGAGGUGGCGAAAAGCGUGGGGAGCCAAAAGGG
Molecule: ribosomal RNA, 258 nt
Filed under: uncultured bacterium
Lineage: Bacteria
Description: partial 16S ribosomal RNA
Rfam family: Bacterial small subunit ribosomal RNA
Source: RNAcentral